This 448-nucleotide ribosomal RNA is filed under the name uncultured bacterium. RNAcentral describes it as "bacterial SSU rRNA". It matches the Rfam family "Bacterial small subunit ribosomal RNA", at positions 328 to 793 of the family's 1533-position model. The record is from RNAcentral.
CUACCAGACUCCUACGGGAGGCAGCAGUGGGGAAUAUUGCACAAUGGGGGAAACCCUGAUGCAGCAACGCCGCGUGGGUGAAGGAGCGUUUCGGCGCGUAAAGCCCUGUCAGCGGGGAAGAAGAAAGACGGUACCCGACCAAGAAGCCCCGGCUAACUACGUGCCAGCAGCCGCGGUAAUACGGAGGAUGCGAGCGUUAUCCGGAUUUAUUGGGUUUAAAGGGUGCGCAGGCGGAAGAUCAAGUCAGCGGUAAAAUUGAGAGGCUCAACCUCUGCGAGCCGUUGAAACUGGUUUUCUUGAGUGAGCGAGAAGUAUGCGGAAUGCGUGGUGUAGCGGUGAAAUGCAUAGAUAUCACGCAGAACUCCGAUUGCGAAGGCAGCAUACCGGCGCUCAACUGACGCUCAUGCACGAAAGUGUGGGUAUCGAACAGGAUUAGAUACCCCCGUAA